UGACUUCAAGACUGAGCUCAGC
This 22-nucleotide microRNA is filed under the name Cordylochernes scorpioides. The record is from RNAcentral. Lineage: Eukaryota; Metazoa; Arthropoda; Arachnida; Pseudoscorpiones; Chernetidae.